RNAcentral lists this long non-coding RNA (1034 nucleotides) under Equus caballus (horse). RNAcentral's name for it is "lncRNA (ENSECAG00000056991.1)". The record is from RNAcentral. Lineage: Eukaryota; Metazoa; Chordata; Mammalia; Perissodactyla; Equidae.
CCACUGUGAGCUGGAGUAACUCAAACUCAACCGCCCACAGGGACCACAUUCCUGGCCAGGGAGCUGGGAAGUGUUUCCUGGGGGGAGGGGCAGAAAAGCAAAGCACGUGUCCUGUGCAUCAAGCUUCUUCAUGGGCGCGCCCAGGGAACCGAAGGCUGAGGCCUGGCCAGUGUCCCGAAGGAAGCUUUCACCCCCCUCGUCACUUGUCUCUGUUGGUUCAUGGGCUCGGCAUGUCAGCGUGGCCCCCCGUGCUGGGUCUCAUCAGACCCCAGGGGGAUGCUGAGGGGCAAGCCCAUGGAUCUCCAUCUGUGAGACUGAGCCAUCUGCAAAUGGGCUCAGCUGGGGAGGAUACGCCGCCCACACGGCCAUGUGAGUCCCUGGGGCAGGAACUGCUCCUCAUGCCCACCACAUGCAGGGAAAAAACACAAGUCCUGGAGACAGAUGCCGAGUCCCGUCUCUGCCCACCACCUUCCUGCUUCGAGACCCUGGGCGUGUCACCUCACCUCCCUGGCGUCGGUUUCCUCACCUGUAAAAUGGGGGCUUCAUCGAGGUUUAAUCUCCUACAGCUGAGCGUGAAGCCUGCACGUGACGCCCCCCUGAGACCAGGAAGACCAACAAUCCCACCAGAGAAGAGCGAACAGUGUCUGGCACCUGAGAGAAAGCCACGCCGGCUCACGCUAGACCUCAGUGGCCAAGCGGAUUUAAAUUUAAAUGUACAUAGUCACAUGUGGCUGGUGGCUCCUGUGUUGGACAGCAUCUCUCUAGAAUGUUCCAGCCCAGCAUUGUCCAACAGAACUUUCUGCAAUGACGGGAAUGUCCUGGAUCUGCGCGUCCAAGGGACCCUGGACCCUCUGACUGCAGGAGCUCCCAGUGGCCGGAGCUCAAACGCUUCAUCCUGGAAGGCACGGGACGCCCAGUUAAUUUGCAUUUCAGCUACAGACCAACUCUUUUUAGCAUAAGCAUCUCUCAAAUAUUGCAUGGGACGUGCUUUUACCUGACGACGAUGCGUUAUUUAUCCGAAAUUCCAAUUUCAC